Molecule: long non-coding RNA, 975 nt
Organism: Thunnus maccoyii (southern bluefin tuna)
Lineage: Eukaryota; Metazoa; Chordata; Actinopteri; Scombriformes; Scombridae
Exons: 2
Source: RefSeq, a predicted model, not a curated record
AUGUGGUGUCUACAAGCAAGAUUUGGGACAAUACGAGUGUGAUGUAGGAGCUUGAAGCCUCCGGUGCACAUACAGUUGUUACAUCCCAGUCGAGGGGAAACCUGGACAUAACAUGUUUAGAGCCCCCGCUCUUCCCAGGCCCAAGAACGCAGCAGCAGCAGCAUCAUCAUCUGGCGAGCCCGUGGUGGUCUCUCUAUCCCAACCUCCCCCCUCCUCAACCCUUCCCAUUCUUCAUCGAUUUUCACGGAGCAGAUUCCUCCCAUGCCGAACAGUUCCCUCCUUGUACAACGAGAGCGCAUCUCUGACAGCUGAGGCCAACUCAUAGCCCGUGGCGAUCGUCUGGAGUGGACGGACGCACCGAGCAGACAAUGACUCGCCUCAAAGCAGCGGCAGAUGUCCAAGUGAUUGCUGCAGACGCUGUCUUUCAUUAGAGAGCCUACAGCCCAGCUCAUAGCCGCUUCCACUGAUUGGAAGAGAAAUAUAUUUAAAAAAAAAAAAAAAGAAAAAAAAAAGAAAAGCACUCUUCUUGGAGUUCAAGUGGCCAUUUGCACAAUAUGUGCUAUUGUAGAUGAGUGUAUUUUUGUACCAAACAGGAGCUUUAUUAUUGAAGAAAAAAGCAAGAAGAGGCCUUUUAUGUGGCCAUCAGGGACCUUGAGAGUAAACUGCUGCUCAGAGCUGAACGAAGUGAUUUGUAUUUGUAACAGAAAGAUAUUCAUCAUAUCAGCUUUUGGAAUAACAACCCCUCAGAUUGAUAAAUUGAAAUACAGCGUCACCCUUGUUCUUACAUUAUCUCUGCCAGCAUGAAAAAAAUUCUGUGAUCACUAUUGCGUAACCUUAUUCAUAAUUACUUUAAAAAAAAAAAAAAAAAGCCUCUCAGGGUUUCAUGUCAAAGUGUACAUGUAAGCUAAUGAAGAAAUAUCCAUUACUAAAAGAGAAAACUCCCUUUUUAUGUGUACUUUUUUUUGUUCUUCCUGU